This 733-nucleotide long non-coding RNA is filed under the name Prunus persica (peach). RNAcentral describes it as "long non-coding RNA (PPER_LNC008575)". Lineage: Eukaryota; Viridiplantae; Streptophyta; Magnoliopsida; Rosales; Rosaceae. The record is from RNAcentral.
UGCACGUCAUAAGUAUAUUCUAAAUAUUGAUGUAUCGAGUAGCGCUGAUUAUGGCAUUUCCUUCUGUGCUUGCGGAUGUGUAGAGAUGUCUUGAAGAAUGAACUUCGAUAUUUUAUCUGGCGGACACUUACACCAAUUCUCGACGCAUGUGCAUGGGCCGCAUAGAGCAGAUGUUUGGCACGGAUAACGAGUAACUGGACCUCUUGCUUCGGCUCCAAAUUGCACACCUACCACAAUUAAUAUUUCCAUAAUUCAUAAUAAAACUGUUUCUUGCCUUUAUUAUGAAUAUACUGCUUUAUGCAUAAGUUUACGUUACAAAAAUAUACACUUAAACUCGACUUUAUGGCUGAAAAUAUCGACAAUUGUUAGGUUAAAGUAUAUAAUUUUAACGAGGUAUCAAGGACAUAUACACAUUUUCAAAAUAAGUGAAGUCAACCAGGUUGGAGAAAAAAAUUCCUUUAUGCAGUUUUAUUGUUCAAAGAAGUCAGCCCCUGAGGUUAGCCUAGGUUGUUAGGAUUAACGUUCGGAUUAUAUUAUGUCAAGAAUAAAUUUCUCUUUCAUUGUAAGAAAAAUAAAAAUUGAGAGAAGUAUUUUACCAUUAUAUGAAACAAGAAGGAGCACAACGAGGAAAGCUGACUUGAAUGAACCUUUCUCCAUAUCUAUUCAAUUUGUUGAAGGCAAGGAAGGAUUAUAAGUUUGUACGUGUUAUAAAACUUGAAUUCGGAGUCACUAG